This 482-nucleotide ribosomal RNA is filed under the name Curtobacterium oceanosedimentum. Its description in RNAcentral is "bacterial SSU rRNA". It matches the Rfam family "Bacterial small subunit ribosomal RNA", at positions 24 to 511 of the family's 1533-position model. The record is from RNAcentral. Lineage: Bacteria; Bacillati; Actinomycetota; Actinomycetes; Micrococcales; Microbacteriaceae.
UCAGGACGAACGCUGGCGGCGUGCUUAACACAUGCAAGUCGAACGAUGAUGCCCAGCUUGCUGGGUGGAUUAGUGGCGAACGGGUGAGUAACACGUGAGUAACCUGCCCCUGACUCUGGGAUAAGCGUUGGAAACGACGUCUAAUACUGGAUAUGACUGCCGGCCGCAUGGUCUGGUGGUGGAAAGAUUUUUUGGUUGGGGAUGGACUCGCGGCCUAUCAGCUUGUUGGUGAGGUAAUGGCUCACCAAGGCGACGACGGGUAGCCGGCCUGAGAGGGUGACCGGCCACACUGGGACUGAGACACGGCCCAGACUCCUACGGGAGGCAGCAGUGGGGAAUAUUGCACAAUGGGCGAAAGCCUGAUGCAGCAACGCCGCGUGAGGGAUGACGGCCUUCGGGUUGUAAACCUCUUUUAGUAGGGAAGAAGGGAGCUGCUCUGAUGACGGUACCUGCAGAAAAAGCACCGGCUAACUACGUGCCAG